Long non-coding RNA from Equus quagga, 1124 nucleotides. RefSeq lists it as uncharacterized. The record is from RefSeq and is a predicted model, not a curated record. The transcript has 4 exons. NCBI's taxonomy places the organism in Eukaryota, Metazoa, Chordata, Mammalia, Perissodactyla, Equidae.
UUUUAAGUUGAUGCCAAAUCAUUCCAAUAUCGAGCAUCUUAAAUCUGUUACUUCGAGUAUGGAUUGAGUUUAGAGCUAACUCAGAGGACUUCAGGCAAGUAUCCAGGAGGUAGUGAGAGGAAUGUUUUAAUAGUUCAAAAAUUCGGUUUGCAUCCUAUAUUCAAAUGCAAAUCUCUUAAGAUCACACAUACUGACAUGUGAUAGUAUAUUUGAAAAUUUGGCCAUAGACUAAAUUCCAUAUUUAACAGCAAAGAUUUUCUCCAAUCAAUUAUAUGUUAUUUUGGUUGUUAUAGAAUUAUGGGUGUUAAGCCAGUGAGUAAUCAUUAUUGAUACAUGCCCAGGUUAGCCAUAAUUGGGUUAGCAAGAUUAUACAUUCAUAAACUGUGAUCUCUAAGUUAACUUAUUUAUUUAGAAGUUGACGUUCUAAAUCAAACUUUAUUUUUUCCUUUUGCAGGUGGAUAUUACUAUCCCUUAUUCAUGGAAAAAGUUGUAUUCUAAGUGUUGUUUCUCGUUGAGUAUUAACAAAAAGGAGAAAAAUUAAUGUCCUAAAGUUUUGAGAUAGAUUUGGCUCUAGCAUAUAUUUUGACACCACCACCGCCCCCCACCCCCAAAAAGGUGAGAACUGAUUAUACCAUGGGUACCUAGAACACAUGGAGGAAAGACUGAGACUGGAAGCAGAAAACAGACAUUAUACAGAGCAGAGUGCCUGACAACAGCUCACUCUAUAGUAAAGGGCAAUAAAUGCCACAUGAGAUGAUCCCCUCAGCACAAAACUUUACAUCUGACUUACAUGCCUGAUCUGCUGACUUCUACUGUCUUUUCAUGACUCCUACAUUAUGGAGGCAAUACCGAGGCGCUGGCACUGAAGCCGGGCAGGCUCGGUAGUCGAGGUUUUCUGGAGCAAAGACACGCUGCCCCGGCCCGCCGGACGCCCAUCUGCACGCCGCUCCUCCCCACGCCCUGUCUCGGUGCCCCGCUGAUUUCCGCUGUGCUGCUGGGACUGGAGCUCAAAUUGAGCUCUCCGCCAGCCCCCCACCCACGCAAGUCCCUGCCCUGCCAGGGCAAGUCCCCACCCUCGCGGUAGGCUCAAGGACCACCCUGCGGCGAGUACUUAUCUCCGACCU